CAAAUUCAACAACAGAGUAUAGAUGCAGGCGCCAUCUCUUUUCAAAAAUCUUUGGAUUCAACCAACCUCCAAGCUGAAGAAACCCUUCAAUUCCAGGGUAAAAUUGAAAGUACUACAUUCUAAAAAGUAUCCGCCUUUGAAGGGUAUUUUCUAUUUGGGAUUGAAUUGAACUCUUUUUUUAAAAAAAGCAUCAAUUUUUCCUAGUGCCCAUGUUCAUGUUAAAUCUUACUAAUUAACUAUCUUUUUGCUUUGAUGCUUUUAGGCAUGGCUGCAGAUCUUGGAAAAUUGAAAAUUGAGCUUAAUUAGAGAGGCAGAAGAU
This 319-nucleotide long non-coding RNA is filed under the name Solanum tuberosum (potato). RNAcentral describes it as "long non-coding RNA (STUB_LNC001009)". Lineage: Eukaryota; Viridiplantae; Streptophyta; Magnoliopsida; Solanales; Solanaceae. The record is from RNAcentral.